CCCCUCCAAGCAGCAGACAGGGGAACACAGACAACCAGACAUCCAGCCAAACCAUAAUUGUGUGUUCGUGUGUCUGCAUUUUUUUUAUCCUCCCUGUGACAUGAAGAAGUAAAGCAAGUAGUGAGAAUUAGUUCUCAGUGCCUCUUUAGUCCUGAGACAUUGAGCCUCAAUUUACUUGUCUGAACAAGUGGAGGUAGCAGUAAAAAUCGCUGGAAGUGAUUAAAAUGUGCUUGAUGGCCUUCAUCUUGGCCUGGGUAUCCAUGGCAACCCCAAUGCUCUGUCAAACUGAAGAGUGGGGCUCAGGCUCGGACGUGUUCUCUGUAAUGACCAACAACUACACAAUACAGGUCGUGGGUGACGAGCCUCAGAAGACGAGCAACAGCCACGAAUGGUUCACCUCAGCAGAUUUCUCCUCAUCAUCUUCACCAAGGCUGCAGGCUGAGCAUCAGCUGGACAGAUGUUCAGUCCACUUCAGCACUUCAUCUCGAAGACUGAAGGCAGACAACGAGCAGCUGGCUUAUAUGCACACUGUGCAGCAUGGAAACAAGGCUGUGAUGGACAACUUACUGCAGUUUGUUGGGGCAGAGCUGGGAGAUGAGCGGUACGAGGAUGUGAUCAAGGAAAAUAUUAUCCGCAUCCAAGAGGACCAGAAGACCUGCCAUGAGGUGGUCAAGAAAGCUGAGGACGACAUGCAAGAGCAGUUGGAGGGAGAAGCUGUGGCCAUGCUCACGGGGAUGAAGAAAAUCAGGGAAGAGUCCAAAGCUUUUGAAGACAUGCUUCAUGCAACGAUUGGCAUCGCUGACCGACUGGAGAUCUCUUCCAAAGUUCUGCAAUCUGCUUUCACCAAACAGCUGAAAGACAUCGCAAAAAUCCAUCGCUAAGCUGCUGCAUUUCACUACACCCGAUUGAGCACCUUACAACACGUUAUCACUCUGAUAGAACAAAUAUUUUUCAGACUGAUAAACAAAUGGCCAAUCAUGGAAGUGCUACAUCAGCUGAUUACAAAGCCAAAUCUCUGUCAAUGUCAUGACUGUGACUUUUUACAGCUCCACCGUGAGGUCCAGAGGACAACAACACACAAACAAAUUUAUCUUACAAUAGUUGUUCAACAAAGUGCAUUUCUCAUCACCUAUUAAUAUAUACAUACUUACCUAUAUCUUCAUCUUUUUUAGACCUAAUGUGCAGAACAUGUAUUAAAAUGUUACAUGGAUAAAUGGAAAACAACACUCAGAGAGAGAAGAGAUCUAUCAAGAAGUUCAUUUCCCACCAUAUGGUGAUUGACAUCCAUAGUACGGUAUAUAAUGUAUAUGAGCAGUAGCAGCACAAGGUCAAAGGUCAAACUCCAUCCGAAUUCCGCAACAUCACCAACAUUUAAUCAGGUAUUCCACUGACCAUUCUCAACCUUUCCUGAAAAGUUUAUUAAAAUCCACUCAUAACUGAGUAAUUUAGCUAAUAAUCAAAUAAACUCCAGCUGCCACUUAACCUCCUCCGUGGAUGGAAAUAUCAGCUGUCUAAUAUCAAGCAUUACCACUAAUGAGCAGCUCUCAGUCACAGAAACAACACAGAUCCCGUGUGGCUUUGGAGAGUGAACGGUGUGCCAGUGCAAGAAUUUGAAUGAGCACAGCAAAAAAAUAAUUAUGGGUUGGAAUAAAACGGGGACCCUUCAAAUAAUUUUUAACCUCAUAACCACAAUUUGUUGGUUUUUUCUAUCCAAGAAUCAUUUGUGGAUAUUCAGUGAGGUCAGAUGUGGCAACAGUAAGUAGGUAGGUUCAGGUCAAGCUUGGUAUUUACUUAAAACCAGGUUUGCUUAGUGAGCCAAAAUAAUGAUUCUCCUAGUUUUCUCCAGAAGACGCUUCGCAUUAGCCCUGUUCAGGGUGAGAACAGGGCCAAGGUCAGAUGGCUGAUGUAUACUAAUGAAGAAUCCAGCAAGAGGAUGGAGAAAACUACUACAAGGAGCUGUGUUUACAUUGAUAGCAUCGUAAAAAUGCAGCAAUCUAAUAUUUUAUAUAGGAAUUCCAAUGAUUGGGAAUAAAUAAUACGAGUGAAGAGGGGAAGGUGCAUAAUGUCUGCCUUUUAACCACUAAAACGAAUGGGCCCAAAAAUAAUUUACAUCCCGAUUGCCCUAUAGAAUCUUUUAAAGGCGAUGUUUAGUUUUGCAUUUGUCAGCAUCUUUGCACAGCGGCAAGAACACUAUGUAUAUUAAUUCACGGAGUCUUCCCUAUAGCUGUUUAAGAUAUAAACAGUAUGGACAUAGAGGUUUAUUAAACUGUACAUGCCACAUAUUUACAAUGUAUUUUUAUAAGAAAUAAUGAUAGUAAAUAAAUGAGUCAAUGGUUAUUCUAUCCUAUCCUGUGUGUGUGUGUGUGUGUGAGAGAGAGAGAGACAUAGAGAGAGAGAGCGUGUGUGAGAGAGUGAAAGAGAAAAAGAGGAGGGACUCUCACAGGUACCAGGAGGUUCCCAGACAUGCCUUGUCCUCUGACAGUGAAUGAUGCACAUUUGGGGACCCACAAGUACUUUUAGAAAAUACAUUUUCUUCUUUUGAGGCGAGUUAAUGCGUCCUCGGUGUGUUAUGAGGGCAUCACUGUGACCUGCAGGACAGCGCUGUAUCCUGAUUCAGCAACGGGUGACGGAUCGCUCGCCGGCCGGCUGCUCGAAUAACUCAAGCCUGGUCGUGGAUGAAGCAGGGGCGGGCGAAACAUACCGACAGUGAGGGUGUGCGUGGAGCUGUUCGGCCAGGCUGUCGCCGUGGUCUCCCCCAGCGCGCCGUCUCAGCAGUGGACAACUUGUCCUGCCAUGCUUCCCGGGUGCGAAGAUGACAGAUUUGGCUCACAGAACUCGCUUUCAGCAAGACGCCGUUUGGAAAGUAUACGGAACCGCCUCCGUACUCACCGAUGAAGUUGGAUU
Long non-coding RNA from Takifugu rubripes (torafugu), 2904 nucleotides. NCBI's taxonomy places the organism in Eukaryota, Metazoa, Chordata, Actinopteri, Tetraodontiformes, Tetraodontidae. The record is from Ensembl.